RNAcentral lists this ribosomal RNA (483 nucleotides) under uncultured bacterium. RNAcentral describes it as "bacterial SSU rRNA". It matches the Rfam family "Bacterial small subunit ribosomal RNA", at positions 30 to 506 of the family's 1533-position model. The record is from RNAcentral.
AUUGAACGCUGGCGGCAUGCCUAACACAUGCAAGUCGAACGCGAAAGGGGGCAACCCUGAGUAGAGUGGCGGACGGGUGAGUAACGCAUCGGAAUUUACCCUGUCGUGGGGGAUAACCAAGGGAAACUUUGGCUAAUACCGCAUGAUCUGGUGACAGCAAAGCGGGGGACCGUGCAAGGGCCUCGCGCGAUGGGAUGAGCCGAUGUCUGAUUAGCUAGUUGGUAGGGUAAAGGCCUACCAAGGCGACGAUCAGUAGCUGGUCUGAGAGGAUGAUCAGCCACACUGGGACUGAGACACGGCCCAGACUCCUACGGGAGGCAGCAGUGGGGAAUAUUGGACAAUGGGCGCAAGCCUGAUCCAGCGAUGCCGCGUGUGUGAAGAAGGCCUGCGGGUUGUAAAGCACUUUCAGUAGGGAAGAAAGACCGAGUGCUAAUAUCAUUCGGUCUUGACGUUACUUACAGAAGAAGCACCGGCUAACUCCGU